GUCUUGGUGAUUCAAACAAUUGAGUUGCAAACAAAAAUCUAUUAUUAAACCUGCUUUAAUUAUUACCAAUGCAUUGCAAAAUGCAUGAUCAUUUAGAAACCAAAGUAAAGACACCUGUAUUUCUAUAGCACUUUUAACAGACAGUUUUAGAGUAUUAAAAAGGAAAAACAGUGUGUGAUAAUGCAAACAGUAAACAUUCAAUUUUCAGUUUAAGUCAGUUCAUUAUUGAUUUAGUGAUGUCAUCAUCCAGCUCAGUUCAGUUCGUUUAGUAUCUGUGCAAUCAAGUUGACAAGCAGUUUAAUUCUAAGCGGCAGCAAAGUCAGAUUGUGCAGAGGACUCGACUGGUUCCCGUGGUCUUGUGCCGAUGGCCGUCUAGAAUGAACUAAUAUUCAUGCAUCAAGAGACAUUUAAAAUGAGGCUGUUUUUGUAAAAGAGCUGGACGCUGGACGGGUCAGAGGUCACCGAGGGGGUUCAGACCAGCGCAGAGAGCGAGCGGGACGGACGCUACAGCCGCAGCAGCGUCCUGAGCCUCAGCAAAGCACGCUGGGAAGCCGGCGAGCGCUUCGUCUGCAGAGUAACACAUGACGGAGCUGAUCACGAGACCUCGUUCCUCAAGAGCUCCGAGUGCUGAUGUUUCUCCAGUGAAGAGCAGCAGGAUUCACAGCAGUCUCCUGAUUUACAGCUCAAUACUCAAGUAGUCUUUCAAUGUGCUGCCAUUGCUGUUCAUUCAAUAAAGCUUCUGAACGCCU
This is a long non-coding RNA of Carassius gibelio (silver crucian carp), 749 nucleotides long. RefSeq lists it as uncharacterized. The record is from RefSeq and is a predicted model, not a curated record. NCBI's taxonomy places the organism in Eukaryota, Metazoa, Chordata, Actinopteri, Cypriniformes, Cyprinidae. The transcript is spliced from 2 exons.